Molecule: transfer RNA, 88 nt
Filed under: Holosporales bacterium
Lineage: Bacteria; Pseudomonadati; Pseudomonadota; Alphaproteobacteria; Holosporales
Description: tRNA-Ser
Rfam family: tRNA
About the family: Transfer RNA (tRNA) molecules are approximately 80 nucleotides in length. Their secondary structure includes four short double-helical elements and three loops (D, anti-codon, and T loops).
Source: RNAcentral
GGAGAGAUGGCCGAGAGGCUUAAGGCGCACGCCUGGAAAGCGUGUAUACGGAAACGUAUCGAGGGUUCGAAUCCCUCUCUCUCCGCCA